RNAcentral lists this ribosomal RNA (358 nucleotides) under Vibrio parahaemolyticus. RNAcentral describes it as "partial 23S ribosomal RNA". It matches the Rfam family "Bacterial large subunit ribosomal RNA", at positions 457 to 817 of the family's 2925-position model. Lineage: Bacteria; Pseudomonadati; Pseudomonadota; Gammaproteobacteria; Vibrionales; Vibrionaceae. The record is from RNAcentral.
CCUCCAAGGCUAAAUACUACUGACUGACCGAUAGUGAACCAGUACCGUGAGGGAAAGGCGAAAAGAACCCCUGUGAGGGGAGUGAAAUAGAACCUGAAACCGUGUACGUACAAGCAGUAGGAGCAGGCUUUGUCCUGUGACUGCGUACCUUUUGUAUAAUGGGUCAGCGACUUAUAUUCAGUGGCAAGGUUAACCAUCUAGGGGAGCCGUAGGGAAACCGAGUCUUAACUGGGCGUUCAGUCUCUGGAUAUAGACCCGAAACCAGGUGAUCUAGCCAUGGGCAGGUUGAAGGUUGAGUAACAUCAACUGGAGGACCGAACCGACUAAUGUUGAAAAAUUAGCGGAUGACUUGUGGCUA